This 503-nucleotide ribosomal RNA is filed under the name uncultured bacterium. RNAcentral describes it as "partial 16S ribosomal RNA". It matches the Rfam family "Bacterial small subunit ribosomal RNA", at positions 28 to 523 of the family's 1533-position model. The record is from RNAcentral.
GAUGAACGCUAGCGACAGGCCUAACACAUGCAAGUCGAGGGGCAGCACAUGCGUAGCAAUACAAUGGUGGCGACCGGCGCACGGGUGCGUAACGCGUAUGCAACCUACCUCAAUCAGGGGGAUAGCCCGGAGAAAUCCGGAUUAACACCGCAUAAAAACACAGGGUAGCAUUACCCAAUGUUCAAAUAUUCAUAGGAUUGGGAUGGGCAUGCGUGCCAUUAGCUAGUUGGCGGGGUAACGGCCCACCAAGGCGACGAUGGCUAGGGGAUCUGAGAGGAUGACCCCCCACACUGGUACUGAGACACGGACCAGACUCCUACGGGAGGCAGCAGUAAGGAAUAUUGGUCAAUGGGGGCAACCCUGAACCAGCCAUGCUGCGUGCAGGAUGACGGCCCUCCGGGUUGUAAACUGCUUUUGUACGGGAAUAAACCUUUCUUCGUGAAGAAAGCUGAAUGUACCGUAAGAAUAAGGAUCGGCUAACUUCGUGCCAGCAGCCGCAGUAA